This 443-nucleotide ribosomal RNA is filed under the name uncultured bacterium. Its description in RNAcentral is "partial 16S ribosomal RNA". It matches the Rfam family "Bacterial small subunit ribosomal RNA", at positions 338 to 795 of the family's 1533-position model. The record is from RNAcentral.
CCUACGGGAGGCAGCAGUGGGGAAUAUUGGGCAAUGGGCGCAAGCCUGACCCAUCAACGCCGCGUGAAGGAAGAAGGCUCUCGGGUUGUAAACUUCUUUUAGCAGGGACGAAGAAAGUGACGGUAGCGGAUGAAUAAGCGACGGCUAACUACGUGCCAGCAGCCGCGGUAAGACGUAGGUGGCAAGCGUUAUCCGGAUUUACUGGGUGUAACGGGCGUGUAGGCGGGAAAGCAAGUCAGAGGUGAAAACCAUGGGCUCAACCUGUGGCCUGCAUUUGAAACUGUUUUUCUUGAGUACUGGAGAGGCAGACGGAAUUCCUAGUGUAGCGGUGAAAUGCGUAGAUAUUAGGAGGAACACCAGUGGCGAAGGCGGUCUGCUGGACAGCAACUGACGCUGAGGCGCGAAAGCGUGGGGAGCAAACAGGAUUAGAUACCCCAGUAGUC